GUGAAGAACGCAGCGAAAUGCGAUAAGUAAUGUGAAUUGCAGAAUUCCGUGAAUCAUCGAAUCUUUGAACGCACAUUGCGCCCCCUGGCAUUCCGGGGGGCAUGCCUGUCCGAGCGUCAUUUCUGCCCUCAAGCACGGCUUGUGUGUUGGGUGUGGUCCCCCCGGGGACCUGCCCGAAAGGCAGCGGCGACGUCCGUCUGGUCCUCGAGCGUAUGGGGCUCUGUCACUCGCUCGGGAAGGACCUGCGGGGGUUGGUCACCACUAUAUUUUACCACGGUUGACCUCGGAUCAGGUAGGAGUUACCCGCUGAACUUAAGCAUAUCAAUAAGCGGAGGA
This 336-nucleotide unclassified non-coding RNA is filed under the name soil metagenome. Its description in RNAcentral is "partial contains 5.8S ribosomal RNA, internal transcribed spacer 2, and large subunit ribosomal RNA". The stretch from base 2 to 119 matches the Rfam family "5.8S ribosomal RNA", at positions 37 to 154 of the family's 154-position model. The record is from RNAcentral.